This 277-nucleotide ribosomal RNA is filed under the name uncultured bacterium. RNAcentral's name for it is "partial 16S ribosomal RNA". It matches the Rfam family "Bacterial small subunit ribosomal RNA", at positions 79 to 354 of the family's 1533-position model. The record is from RNAcentral.
CUUUCUCCGCCGGCGACCGGCGCACGGGUGAGUAACACGUAUGCAACCUGCCCCUGUCAGGGGGACAACCCGCCGAAAGGCGGGCUAAACCCGCGUACAUGCCACCGGGGCAUCCCGGAGGCAGGAAAAGGCUUCGGCCGGACAGGGAUGGGCAUGCGGCGCAUUAGGCAGUAGGCGGGGUAACGGCCCACCUAACCGACGAUGCGUAGGGGUUCUGAGAGGAAGGUCCCCCACACUGGUACUGAGACACGGACCAGACUCCUACGGAAGGCAGCAG